UACAGAGGUCUCGAGCGUUGUUCGGAUUCAUUGGGCGUAAAGGGUGCGUAGGCGGCGAAGUAAGUCGGAUGUGAAAUCCCGGGGCUCAACCCCGGAACUGCAUUCGAUACUGCUUCGCUCGAGGACUGGAGAGGAGACUGGAAUUCACGGUGUAGCAGUGAUAUGCGUAGAUAUCGUGAGGAAGACCGGUGGCGAAAGCGGGUCUCUGGACAGUUCCUGACGCUGAGGCACGAAGGCCAGGGGAGCAAACGGG
Molecule: ribosomal RNA, 253 nt
Filed under: uncultured bacterium
Lineage: Bacteria
Description: partial 16S ribosomal RNA
Rfam family: Bacterial small subunit ribosomal RNA
Source: RNAcentral